CACAAGCUUGGUCCUGGCUUUACUGUCAGCUUUGAUUAAAUUUAUACAUGCAAGUCUCCGCCCUCCUGUGAGAAUGCCCUACUUAUGCCCUGUAUUGGGAAAAAGGAGCAGGUAUCAGGCACAACCCUAACUUAGCCCACGACACCUUGCUUAGCCACACCCCCAUGGGAAUCCAGCAGUAAUAAACAUUAAGCCAUAAGUGUAAACUUGACUUAGUUAGUAUCAUUUAAGGGCCGGUAAAACUCGUGCCAGCCACCGCGGUUAUACGAGAGGCCCGUGUUGACACACACCGGCGUAAAGAGUGGUUAAUAGAGUUUUUAACUAAGGUCGAACAUCUUCAAGGCUGUUAUACGCACCCGAAGACAGGAAGUGCCCCCACGAAAGUGGCCUUAAGUAGUAUGAAUCCACGAAAGCUAGGGAACAAACUGGGAUUAGAUACCCCACUAUGCCUAGCCCUAAACCAAAACACCAUUUUACACCAACAUUCGCCAGGGGAAAACGAGCCCCAGCUUAAAACCCAAAGGACUUGGCGGUGCUUUAGACCCCCCUAGAGGAGCCUGUUCUAGAACCGAUACUCCCCGUUAAACCUCACCCCCUCUUGUUUUCCCCGCCUAUAUACCGCCGUCGUCAGCUUACCCUGUGAAGGAACUACCGUAAGCAGAAUUGGCAGAGCCCAAAACGUCAGGUCGAGGUGUAGCGUACGAGGGGGGAAGAAAUGGGCUACAUUUACUGAACCAGUAAAUACGAACCUUGUUCUGAAAAAACAUACGAAGGAGGAUUUAGCAGUAAGGUGGGAAUAGAGAGCCCUCCUGAAAACGGCCCUGAAGCGCGCACACACCGCCCGUCACUCUCCCCGACAAAACACUAACUAUAAAUAAUACUUUUCAUUAUCUACAAGGGGAGGCAAGUCGUAACAUGGUAAGUGUACCGGAAGGUGCACUUGGAAAAACCC
Molecule: non-coding RNA, 952 nt
Filed under: Aphia minuta (transparent goby)
Lineage: Eukaryota; Metazoa; Chordata; Actinopteri; Gobiiformes; Gobiidae
Description: partial 12S ribosomal RNA
Rfam family: Bacterial small subunit ribosomal RNA
Source: RNAcentral